Molecule: long non-coding RNA, 348 nt
Filed under: Homo sapiens (human)
Lineage: Eukaryota; Metazoa; Chordata; Mammalia; Primates; Hominidae
Description: long non-coding RNA NONHSAT013767.2
Source: RNAcentral
UACGGGAAGUGACGAGAGCCGGGUGGACCCAGGGUGGGGAACUACCUCUUCCUCUCCACGCGGUUGAGAAGACCGGUCGGCCUGGGCAACCUGCGCUGAAGAUGCCGGGAAAACUCCGUAGUGACGCUGGUUUGGAAUCAGACACCGCAAUGAAAAAAGGGGAGACACUGCGAAAGCAAACCGAGGAGAAGAGAAAAAAGAGAAGCCAAAAUCUGAUAAGACUGAAGAGAUAGCAGAAGAGGAAGAAACUGUUUUCCCCAAAGCUAAACAAGUUAAAAAGAAAGCAGAGCCUUCUGAAGUUGACAUGAAUUCUCCUAAAUCCAAAAAGGCAAAAAAGAAAGAGGAGCC